UACGGAGGGUCCGAGCGUUAAUCGGAAUUACUGGGCGUAAAGCGCGCGUAGGCGGAUAUAUAAGUCAGAUGUGAAAUCCCCGGGCUCAACCUGGGAACUGCAUUUGAAACUGUAUAUCUAGAGUGUGGUAGAGGUGAGUGGAAUUUCAGGUGUAGCGGUGAAAUGCGUAGAGAUCUGAAGGAACAUCAGUGGCGAAGGCGACUCACUGGGCCAUUACUGACGCUGAGGUGCGAAAGCGUGGGUAGCAAACAGG
RNAcentral lists this ribosomal RNA (253 nucleotides) under uncultured bacterium. RNAcentral describes it as "partial 16S ribosomal RNA". It matches the Rfam family "Bacterial small subunit ribosomal RNA", at positions 524 to 776 of the family's 1533-position model. The record is from RNAcentral.